Molecule: ribosomal RNA, 498 nt
Filed under: uncultured bacterium
Lineage: Bacteria
Description: partial 16S ribosomal RNA
Rfam family: Bacterial small subunit ribosomal RNA
Source: RNAcentral
GACGAACGCUGGCGGCGUGCCUAAUACAUGCAAGUCGAGCGGACGGAUGGGAGCUUGCUCCCAGACCGUCAGCGGCGGACGGGUGAGUAACACGUGGGCAACCUGCCUGUAAGACUGGGAUAACUCCGGGAAACCGGGGCUAAUACCGGAUAACUCUUUCCCUCACAUGAGGGAAAGCUGAAAGAUGGCAUCUCGCUAUCACUUACAGAUGGGCCCGCGGCGCAUUAGCUAGUUGGUGAGGUAACGGCUCACCAAGGCGACGAUGCGUAGCCGACCUGAGAGGGUGAUCGGCCACACUGGGACUGAGACACGGCCCAGACUCCUACGGGAGGCAGCAGUAGGGAAUCUUCCGCAAUGGACGAAAGUCUGACGGAGCAACGCCGCGUGAGUGAUGAAGGUUUUCGGAUCGUAAAACUCUGUUGUCAGGGAAGAACAAGUGCCGGAGUAACUGCCGGUACCUUGACGGUACCUGACCAGAAAGCCACGGCUAACUACGUG